GAUAAACAUGUGUGUUGGGGUGCCCAAGCUGCAUAGUACCCUUCCCCCAGAUCGUGGAUAUGGAGCUAAUGCGAAGAAUAGAAAUAAGGCUUCCAAGACUGAUGCUGGACGGUAUCCACCUGCCUCUUCUUCAUUUCUCCUGGAAACACACAAAGAAUAGCUAACAGAGGUCUGCAUUCUGCAAGGCAAACAAUUAUUCUAACUUCAAAUACUAAGUUUCACCUCUUCUUUUCCGCAGCUAUCAGUCAGAGAUCACUUCCGAGUUAAGGAUGUAGGCCAUGCAGCCAUCUUAAGUCUGCGAUCAGUCUCAAGGUAGACCCACCUUUCUGCACACCCAAGCUAAUGCCACACCCCUGAGGCAAAGGAUUGUAACUGAGAAAUUUCAUCGUGACUGUCGCUGUACCCUGGACCUGGCAUCCUGUCAAGCAGUACUGUUACACACCGGCUGUCAUCUCCUGCUGAAUAAUUAAUUCCAGGAAACCAAAUUUGCCCAAGGGGGGAAGAAAGAAUAACGGGACUGGAGAUUGGCAGGGCAGCGGGCAAUGUUUGCUCACCUUUCCAUGCCCAUCCCGGAUGUUGCCUGCUCAUCGUCGGCCUGAACUAUGGCUCUGGAGGAUUAACCCACAGUUUGGGGGUGGAGGGAAUGUCUGUUGGCUGCAGCAGACAGGUCCAGCCAACCCAGCCAUCCCAGGGUGGUUGUUGAGAUUUGAUGGAGUGUUGGAUAACUUCCCAAGCAGCUGCUGUUGCUCGUGUGAAUCUACAGAGCUCAUCAGGUCUGGCAUGAUGCCCGGGGCCUUGUGUUGGUCCUGGAAUACAGUCUUCAGUGUAAGGUAGGGGUGAGCUGGCAAAACAGUGAGUGGUUUUCAGACAUUCUUAUGAACAUCAGCAGCUUGGGGCAUUUCGUUAGGUUACUGAAGCUCCCAGAGGGUUUAAGGCCAAUAAAUACGGGGUUUGUCAUCGGGAGCCUGGGAGCCUUACCCAAAUUCUACAUCUGCACUGCCUCUUAGCCACAGUGAUGCUGAGGUUGACCUGUGAGGACCCUCAUGAGAACAGCCCCCUAUUCAGGCAAAGAGAAAGAGAAAAAUAAAGCACCCCUUACUGGCUUUGUCCUCCACCUGAAGCUUCAUUGUCAGAGCUCAAAUUUUCAAAAAUAUAACCACGAAAAAGAUAUCUAGAUAUAAAAUUUUAAAAAAUACCUAUUCUGGUAAGUACUAACUGGUCUGGUAACAGUUAAAAUGCUGACAUUCUGAUAAACUCAAAACCUAAAUAUUUGGUUUUAACGUCAACUAAGUGAAGUGUUUUUAUUUUCACCUGGUCUGAGCAAAUUUAUGCUCACUGCUAGUAUCACAUUUGUGCAUCUUUUCUUACACAGCUUCUGUGGGAAAGGCGUUGUCCUCAGCCCUGAGGCUUGGGUCUGUGUCUGCUACACUGAAUGUGCCUCUCCAAAAUUUAUAUUAAAGCUUAAUCUCCACUAUUCCAGUGUUAAGAAAUCAGAUCUUUGGAGGAGUGAUUAAUGAUGGCACUGCCCUUUGGGGUAGAUUAAUCCCUUAUGGAAGGCUUGAGAGAACUGUCCUCGCUUGUUUACCUUUCUCCCUUCUGCCACACGAGGACACCAGUUUCAAGGUGCCAUCCUACAAACAGAGCCUAAGGUCAGAUGUCCAACCUGCUG
Meriones unguiculatus (Mongolian gerbil) is the source of this 1669-nucleotide long non-coding RNA. RefSeq lists it as uncharacterized. The transcript is spliced from 5 exons. NCBI's taxonomy places the organism in Eukaryota, Metazoa, Chordata, Mammalia, Rodentia, Muridae. The record is from RefSeq and is a predicted model, not a curated record.